UACGAAGGGUGCAAACGUUGCUCGGAAUCAUUGGGCGUAAAGCGCACGUAGGCGGCCUCAAAAGUCGGAUGUGAAAUCCCUCGGCUCAACCAAGGAAGUGCAUCUGAUACUGUGAGGCUUGAGUACCAAAGAGGAUCGCGGAAUUCCCGGUGUAGAGGUGAAAUUCGUAGAUAUCGGGAGGAACACCAGUGGCGAAGGCGGCGAUCUGGGUGGAUACUGACGCUGAGGUGCGAAAGCGUGGGGAGCAAACAGG
This 253-nucleotide ribosomal RNA is filed under the name uncultured bacterium. Its description in RNAcentral is "partial 16S ribosomal RNA". It matches the Rfam family "Bacterial small subunit ribosomal RNA", at positions 524 to 776 of the family's 1533-position model. The record is from RNAcentral.